Molecule: long non-coding RNA, 1613 nt
Filed under: Serinus canaria (Common canary)
Lineage: Eukaryota; Metazoa; Chordata; Aves; Passeriformes; Fringillidae
Description: lncRNA (ENSSCAG00000001383.1)
Source: RNAcentral
GCUGCAACAGAGCUGCUUCUAGCAUUCUGUUCAGUUGAAGUAUCCCAGCAGAGACAAAAUAAGGACUCAAAAAGGAAGUCAAGUGAGAUCAUCGUCCUCAGUAUUUCUUCAACACCUCUGCAAUGCUGCUCCGCUCGGGCCGUAGAAAGCCGUAUGAAAUGCCUCCCCAUAGAAGGCAGUCUGUGAAGAAGAAAUUUCUGCCUAAAAAUAAGAAAACAGCUCUUGGAAAGUCAGAGUUUAACCUGCGAAAAACAUUGAAAUGUUAUAUACUAACUGAAGAUUCAAAAACAGUGCAUUUUGAUAUAGAUGAAGAUGGUCAUCAUGAAAUAUCUACCAAGGAUUCGCAAUCCCAUGAAGAUAUUGCGUGGUUGAGCAUGUUCACAAGGAAUGAAGAGCAUAAUCCUCUUCUAGAUUCUAAAAAUUUGGUGAGCCUCACACAGAGAUCAAAACUUAAUGAAUUUGUCUUGUUGUGCAAGGGUAAGAAGCAUCUCUCUCUGAAGGUCUUAAAAGCAUCCUGUUCAGAGCCAGAUUGUCCUUCAGUGGAGAGGAGUGAUAUGAAAACUUGCGGCCAUGAAGAUCCUGACUUUAAACAGCUGAGAGAAGAUAAUAACUUUUUCAUCAUGCAUUACCAAGGAGAAUCGGUGCAGUUCCAGUGCUAUGAAGACAGAAGUUACUAUCUGUGUGUGCAUGAUGACUCACUUGAUAUUCGCAAGCUGAAAAACAAGAAGCCCAAUGAGGAGAAAAAUUUUUACUUCAGGGUGUCAUAUUUAGAGGAAAAGUAAUUUGUCUACCUUUCAGUGGCCUAAGUGCCCAUACAGCUCCUAAGAAGAUGACGAAGUUUGAGAUCAACUGAUUUCUGUUUGGGCUAAAUUUUUACAUUUUCACAAUUUCUAAGUCACCAACGUCUUUAUUUCUACACAUCAAUAGCAAAAGAGGAAGGCCAAGUAUGAAAAACAUACUAACUGAUCAGUCUUUGUGUCCUACCUACCAGUUAUGUUUUUAAGAAAACAAAAUAUUCUGGUGCGGGAAAAUAUACAGGGGAUAUUUCAAAGAUGGAAACAGUAAGGAAUAUAUCUGAACAUGAUCAUAAAAUAUGCCAUAAGUUCUGCAUGUGAUAAAUAUUUUUUGUUUUAAAAACUGUCUCUUAUAAACUCACCUGAAUGUGACUAGAAAACUUUCAGAAGUUGUUAAAUGCAUGUAUGCAAAUCCUGACUGACUGACUUGGAGAAAGAGUCAGACUCUAUCUGGGAAUAAGGGAAAAUUCUGGAAGCUAGAAGAUGUCUCUGCACCUGUAGUUCCAAGCCAAUCCAUGUAGUCCAUUAUGCAAUUCCAGCAUCUGUCCAGCGUGGCAGGUCUCUAAGAAAAUGUACACAGAGCGUCAGAUAUACAAAGUGCAGGCAGAGGGAGGGAGGCAGAUUGAACUGAUGGGCCAUGACAGAUGCCUGCAAACACAUCAGAAAAUUGCUCUGACAUAUUGGCUUCCACUUCUGAAUCAUAGAGGGAAAUACAAUCACAUGUUCAAUUGCAAAGCAGAGUGCAGAACAACAUCAGAAAAAACAAUAAUGUUCAAAAUUACUGAAUAAAAGAAACACUAAGUGUUUAUGUGGGGUACA